AUUAGCAAUCUUGGAGUUGCGUCUUCUUCUCUUUCCCUACCCGAGGUGUCCCCGCUGGUAAGAAAAUGCUUCUCCGUGUGCUUCCUCGCUCUCAAAAUCUAACCCACAACUCCAGCGAGCCAUUGGGGGAAACGGCGGGACACUGUGGGGACAUGAUGGCGGGUAUCAUGGUGUGGGCUUCUCUCAGCGCUCUCCUCUCUCUGGUCGGGUGUCCCGCGUGUGUCCUCGUCCUCCGGCAGCUGUACAGAAGACUCAAAGCAGGAACCCCGUUCUCCCCCAACGACUUCUUCAUGCUCAACCUCACCGUCAUGGACUUGGUCUUCUUGCUUUUCGUCCCGUUCGGGCUGUGCAACUUCCUCCUGUGGCACGCGAGGGCCGUUCAGUUGUUGAGCAACUUCCUGUACGCCUUGAACCUGGCCGGGCGACCCCUGCUCACGGCCUGCAUCUGUCUGGACUGCUUCCUGGCCGUGGUCCAUCCCGUCACCUACCACACCAGGAAGAGUCUGACCCCGCGGUUCCUCAUGGCCGCCGUCGUGUGGGCCGUCACGGCGGCCCAGGGAGUGGCGGCCGUGGCGGCGGAGGAGCUGAUCCACAGCGCCUGGGCCAUGGUCGUUUACGUGGUGGCGCUGCCCUCAUCGUCACGUGCGACGUCUCC
Molecule: long non-coding RNA, 655 nt
Organism: Gasterosteus aculeatus aculeatus (three-spined stickleback)
Lineage: Eukaryota; Metazoa; Chordata; Actinopteri; Perciformes; Gasterosteidae
Source: Ensembl